Heterocephalus glaber (naked mole-rat) is the source of this 892-nucleotide long non-coding RNA. NCBI's taxonomy places the organism in Eukaryota, Metazoa, Chordata, Mammalia, Rodentia, Bathyergidae. The record is from Ensembl.
UACCGUUGGAACCGCGAAGCCCCGUCCCCCGGCCGCGGCCGCUUCUCCAGGACCCGCGGCGACUGCAAGAGGGCGAGAACGGAAGCCCCAAGUGGCUCCGCGAACCGCGAGCCUCUCCCUGAGGCGGCCGCUGACAGGAGGUUGAAGCGACGGCUGCAGCAAGGGGCCAGCCCGGUAGCGACCCCCGGAUUCCCCCCGGCGGUGGCGGCGGAGACGCGAAAGAAGGGGCGGGAGCAGCAACGGAGGCGGCAGCUGAGGCGCUGAGCCUCCCUAACGGCGAACGGGAGGAGAGGCCCCCGACUGUUUUAAACUCAACCCAGACUGCAGCCAGCAUUCAAACCUGUUGGAAUCUGUGGAAAAAUUCUUCAAACUGAAAUUCUACAACACAGCAACUUAAUGACAUCAAACAGGACUAAAGACCAACAUCUUCUGAAGAGAACAGAUUCUGAUUUGAUCAAUUAGGUCAUGUAGGCUGUGAGAAGGAAACAAAAAGACCCUGAAAAUGGUAACUCACGUUGAUGGUCAGAUCCCAGGUGUCUGUAAAACCCUUUAUCUGUGGCAUCUCCACUCAGCCAGCUGAUGAUGAUUUUCGAACCUGAUGGUGGUGUUGUGAAGAAGUUUCUCUCCUGGGAAGAGUGUCAAGUGCUGUUUAUUCAAGCCACCAGAAAUGCACUCUGAGAGACAGCUCCCUGUUCCCUUGUGCAAGUUUCCUUAAUAAUUUUUACCACUUGUACCUGCUGUAUGGCAGGGACUUCCCAGACUUCGGAAGUUCCCAAACUUUUUUUAUUCACAGAACCCAUAGGGUUUCAGUAAUUUUCCACUAUGUCCUGGGCCAAAAGAAAUCCCUAACAGCUCCAUUAAUUAAACAACUAGAUCCAAAUAACAUAAGAAC